Molecule: RNase P RNA, 361 nt
Filed under: Rhodobacteraceae bacterium HLUCCO18
Lineage: Bacteria; Pseudomonadati; Pseudomonadota; Alphaproteobacteria; Rhodobacterales; Paracoccaceae
Rfam family: Bacterial RNase P class A
About the family: Ribonuclease P (RNase P) is a ubiquitous endoribonuclease, found in archaea, bacteria and eukarya as well as chloroplasts and mitochondria. Its best characterised activity is the generation of mature 5'-ends of tRNAs by cleaving the 5'-leader elements of precursor-tRNAs.
Source: RNAcentral
GCGGAAGGCCGGAUGGCCGCGGGCCGCAAGGUUCGAGGAAAGUCCGGACUCCCUGAAGCAACGGUGCCGGGUAACGCCCGGGCGGAGCAAUCCGACGGAAAGCGCCACAGAGAUCAGACCGCCUUGCAUGCAGGGCGAAGGUGAAACGGUGGGGUAAGAGCCCACCGCGCCCCCGGCAACGGGGGUGGCAUGGCAAGCCCCACCGGGAGCAAUGCCGAAUAGGGACCGCAUCAUGGGGCGCUUCACCCCCGCGGUCCGGGUUGGCAGCUCGAGGCGUCCCGGCAACGGGUCGCCCAGAGGAAUGGUCAUCCACGGGGGACAACCCCCGGGACAGAAUCCGGCUUACAGGCCUUCCGCGCAG